CAGUAGCCGCGGUAAUACGUAGGUGGCAAGCGCUGUCCGGAAUUAUUGGGCGUAAAGGGCUCGCAGGCGGUUUCUUAAGUCUGAUGUGAGAGCCCCCGGCACAACCGGGGAGGGCCGUUGGAAACUGGGAAACUUGAGUGCAGAAGAGGAGAGUGGAAUUCCACGUGUAGCGGUGAAAUGCGUAGAGAUGUGGAGGAACACCAGUGGCGAAGGCGACUCUCUGGUCUGUAACUGACGCUGAGGAGCGAAAGCGUGGGGAGCGAACAGGAUUAGAUACCCCAGUAGUCCCUGUCUCUUAUAC
Molecule: ribosomal RNA, 301 nt
Filed under: uncultured bacterium
Lineage: Bacteria
Description: partial 16S ribosomal RNA
Rfam family: Bacterial small subunit ribosomal RNA
Source: RNAcentral